RNAcentral lists this ribosomal RNA (253 nucleotides) under uncultured bacterium. RNAcentral describes it as "partial 16S ribosomal RNA". It matches the Rfam family "Bacterial small subunit ribosomal RNA", at positions 524 to 776 of the family's 1533-position model. The record is from RNAcentral.
UACGUAGGGGGCAAGCGUUGUCCGGAUUUAUUGGGCGUGAAGAGCGUGUAGGCGGCUUUGCAAGUCCGUUGUGAAAACUCGAGGCUCAACCUCGAGACGCCGGUGGAAACUGCAAAGCUAGAGUCCGGAAGAGGAGAGUGGAAUUCCUGGUGUAGCGGUGAAAUGCGCAGAUAUCAGGAAGAACACCCGUGGCGAAGGCGGCUUGCUGGGUCUGCACUGACACUGAGGGACGAAAGCUAGGGGAGCGAAAGGG